Molecule: ribosomal RNA, 222 nt
Filed under: Clostridioides difficile
Lineage: Bacteria; Bacillati; Bacillota; Clostridia; Peptostreptococcales; Peptostreptococcaceae
Description: partial 23S ribosomal RNA
Rfam family: Bacterial large subunit ribosomal RNA
Source: RNAcentral
AGCUGAGGCCGAAAGGCGUAGGUGAUGGACAACAGGUUGAUAUUCCUGUACUACCGAUAACCGUUUGAGAGAUGGGAUGACACAGUAGGAUAAGUUAAGCACACUGUUGGUUAUGUGUGCCCAAGCAGUGAGGCAGUCAGAGUAGGUAAAUCCGCUUUGAUAAUGCUGGGAUGUGAUGGGGAGCGAAAUUUAGUAGCGAAGUAGCUGAUUUCACACUGUCAA